AGAGUUUGAUCAUGGCUCAGAAUCAACGCUGGCGGCGUGCCUAACACAUGCAAGUCGAACGCGAAAGCCCCGCAAGGGGUAAGUAGAGUGGCGAACGGGUGAGUAACACGUGGGUGACCUACCUUCGAGUGGGGGAUAACGUCCCGAAAGGGACGCUAAUACCGCAUAACAUCCUGCUCUUGAACGAGUGGAGAUCAAAGCCGGGGAUCGCAAGACCUGGCGUUUGAAGAGGGGCCCGCGUCUGAUUAGCUAGUUGGUGAGGUAACGGCCCACCAAGGCGACGAUCAGUAUCCGGCCUGAGAGGGCGGACGGACACACUGGGACUGAGACACGGCCCAGACUCCUACGGGAGGCAGCAGUGGGGAAUUGUUCGCAAUGGGCGCAAGCCUGACGACGCAACGCCGCGUGGAGGAUGAAGGUCUUCGGAUUGUAAACUCCUGUUGCCCGGGACGAAAAGUUUCGACCUAACACGUCGAGAUCUGACGGUACCGGGUGAGGAAGCCCCGGCUAACUCUGUGCCAGCAGCCGCGGUAAUACAGAGGGGGCAAGCGUUGUUCGGAAUUACUGGGCGUAAAGGGCGCGUAGGCGGCCUUCUAAGUCGAACGUGAAAUCCCCGGGCUCAACCCGGGAACUGCGUCCGAUACUGGAAGGCUUGAAUCCGGGAGAGGGAUGCGGAAUUCCAGGUGUAGCGGUGAAAUGCGUAGAUAUCUGGAGGAACACCGGUGGCGAAGGCGGCAUCCUGGACCGGUAUUGACGCUGAGGCGCGAAAGCCAGGGAGCAAACGGGAUUAGAUACCCUAGUAGUCC
This 806-nucleotide ribosomal RNA is filed under the name uncultured bacterium. RNAcentral's name for it is "bacterial SSU rRNA". It matches the Rfam family "Bacterial small subunit ribosomal RNA", at positions 8 to 796 of the family's 1533-position model. The record is from RNAcentral.